This 449-nucleotide ribosomal RNA is filed under the name uncultured bacterium. Its description in RNAcentral is "bacterial SSU rRNA". It matches the Rfam family "Bacterial small subunit ribosomal RNA", at positions 29 to 523 of the family's 1533-position model. The record is from RNAcentral.
AACGAACGCUGGCGGCAUGCCUAACACAUGCAAGUCGAACGAGACCUUCGGGUCUAGUGGCGCACGGGUGCGUAACGCGUGGGAAUCUGCCCUUGGGUUCGGAAUAACAGUUAGAAAUGACUGCUAAUACCGGAUAAUGUCUUCGGACCAAAGAUUUAUCGCCCAGGGAUGAGCCCGCGUAGGAUUAGCUAGUUGGUGAGGUAAAGGCUCACCAAGGCGACGAUCCUUAGCUGGUCUGAGAGGAUGAUCAGCCACACUGGGACUGAGACACGGCCCAGACUCCUACGGGAGGCAGCAGUGGGGAAUAUUGGACAAUGGGCGAAAGCCUGAUCCAGCAAUGCCGCGUGAGUGAUGAAGGCCUUAGGGUUGUAAAGCUCUUUUACCCGGGAUGAUAAUGACAGUACCGGGAGAAUAAGCCCGGCCUAACUCCGUGCCAGCAGCCGCGGUAA